AGAGCAUUGAGAGGACCUUUCCCUAGUACGAGAGGACCGGGAAGGACUCACCUCUGGUGUACUAGUUAUCAUGCCUACGGUAAACACUGGGUAGCCAAGUGCGGAGCGGAUAACUGCUGAAAGAAUCUAAGUAGUAAGCCCACCCCAAAAUGAGUGCUCU
Molecule: small RNA, 160 nt
Filed under: Helianthus annuus (common sunflower)
Lineage: Eukaryota; Viridiplantae; Streptophyta; Magnoliopsida; Asterales; Asteraceae
Description: Bacterial large subunit ribosomal RNA
Rfam family: Bacterial large subunit ribosomal RNA
Source: RNAcentral